This 215-nucleotide ribosomal RNA is filed under the name uncultured bacterium. RNAcentral's name for it is "partial 16S ribosomal RNA". It matches the Rfam family "Bacterial small subunit ribosomal RNA", at positions 1286 to 1500 of the family's 1533-position model. The record is from RNAcentral.
UCCCAGUUCGGAUUGUAGUCUGCAACCCGACUACAUGAAGCUGGAAUCGCUAGUAAUCGCGGAUCAGAAUGCCGCGGUGAAUACGUUCCCGGGUCUUGUACACACCGCCCGUCACACCAUGGGAGUCGGAAAUGCCCAAAGUCAGUGACCCAACCGUAAGGAGGGAGCUGCCGAAGGUGGAGCCGGUAACUGGGGUGAAGUCGUAACAAGGUAUC